GAUGGAAGGUGGCAAGAAGGGACAGGUGUUCCAGGUGCUAAAAAAGAAUGACGACGACGAUCUGGAGGGUGGGAUGUUCGGCGGCAUGGGUGGCGGGAAGAAGAAGAAGAAGGGCAAGGCACCUAAGCCAGAGCCGACACUGGA
This 144-nucleotide non-coding RNA is filed under the name Pycnococcus provasolii. The record is from RNAcentral. Lineage: Eukaryota; Viridiplantae; Chlorophyta; Pseudoscourfieldiophyceae; Pseudoscourfieldiales; Pycnococcaceae.